AGCUCAGGUCAUGAUCUCGUGGUCCAUGAGUUCGAGCCCCGCGUCAGGCUCUGUGCUGACAGCUAAGAGCCUGGAGCCUGCUUCAGAUUCUGUGUCUCCUUCUCUCUGACCCUCCCCUGUUCAUGCUCUGUCUCUCUCUGUCUCAAAAAUAAAUAAACCACAAUUUAAGAAUUAGAGAAAUCAGUGACUCAUUAAAAAGGAACAACAUCAGAAUCAUAGGGGUCCCAAAAGAGGAAGAGGGAGAAAUAGGGGUAGAAGGGUUAUGUGAGCAAAUCAUAGCAGAAAAUUUUCCUAACCUGGGGAAAGACACAGACAUCAAAAUCCAGGAAGCACAGAGGACCCCCAUUAGAUUCAACAAAAACAGACCAUCAACAAGACAUAUCAUAGUGAAAUUCACAAAAUACUCAGGCAAGGAGAGAAUCAUGAAAGCAGCAAGGUAAAAAAAAGUCCCUAACCUAAAAGGGAAGACAGAUCAGGUUUGCAGCAGACCUAUCCACAGAAACAUGGCAGGCCAGAAAGGAGUGGCAGGAUAUAUUCAAUGUGCUGAAUCAGAAAAAUAUGCAGCCAAGAAUUCUUUAUCCAGCAAGGCUGUCAUUCAAAAUAGAAGGAGAGAUAAAAAGUUUCCCAGACAAACAAAAAUUAAAGGAGUUUGUGACCACUAAACCAGCCCUGCAAGAAAUUUUAAGGGGGACUUUCUGAGGGGAAAAAAGAUGAAA
Long non-coding RNA from Neofelis nebulosa (Clouded leopard), 716 nucleotides. RefSeq lists it as uncharacterized. NCBI's taxonomy places the organism in Eukaryota, Metazoa, Chordata, Mammalia, Carnivora, Felidae. The transcript is spliced from 2 exons. The record is from RefSeq and is a predicted model, not a curated record.